RNAcentral lists this unclassified non-coding RNA (154 nucleotides) under uncultured Coniochaeta. Its description in RNAcentral is "sequence contains ITS2". The record is from RNAcentral. Lineage: Eukaryota; Fungi; Ascomycota; Sordariomycetes; Coniochaetales.
CAACCCUCAAGCCCUGCUUGGUGUUGGGGCCCUACGGCUGCCGUAGGCCCUGAAAGGAAGUGGCGGGCUCGCUACAACACCGAGCGUAGUAAUUCAUUAUCUCGCUAGGGACGUUGCGGCGCGCUCCUGCCGUUAAAGACCAUCUUUAACUCAA